AUAACUAAAAUGUCCGUUUAAAACAAGGAUUUCAUUUUUCUUCUUUGAUUUCACUCUGAGUGAAUAACGAAACCUAAGAAUUUUUAUGAAAAUGCGGACGAAGGAUGAAGAAGCCAUAGAUUGAAGAUCAAUACAGUCCUAAAAUCAAGGGUAGUAUUUAUGGGAAGGGACGGCGCGUGAUACUUGUAUAUGGAGGUUGGAUGGGAAGGGAUGGUGCAUGAUUUUAGAGUAUUGAACAAGGCAGUGCGAGAUCCAUCAUUCAAUUUUCCGUUACCUCCUCCGGGUAUGGCUUAUAAAACUUAUUAUUAAUUUUCUCUUGCAUUUAGCUACACAUCUUGUUAAAGCAAUACCAAACAACAUAAAUCUGUCAUCUGUGCUUAUUGCUAUGUUUCUUGUAGGAGUCUAUUUUUCAAACUGCUGUUCUUGUUCUGUGUAUGGCUAGAAUAAAAGCCUGAUAAAAUCUGUAUGUAGGUUUAGUAAAAUGACGGAAUAUUGAUUGUGGCUUCUAUGCGUAAUUCAUUGGUUUCUCUGUCUUUCUAUACUC
Molecule: long non-coding RNA, 544 nt
Organism: Papaver somniferum (opium poppy)
Lineage: Eukaryota; Viridiplantae; Streptophyta; Magnoliopsida; Ranunculales; Papaveraceae
Exons: 2
Source: RefSeq, a predicted model, not a curated record